RNAcentral lists this microRNA (21 nucleotides) under Marchantia polymorpha subsp. ruderalis. The record is from RNAcentral. Lineage: Eukaryota; Viridiplantae; Streptophyta; Marchantiopsida; Marchantiales; Marchantiaceae.
UUACUCACCGAAUCUCUCCUC